RNAcentral lists this long non-coding RNA (1039 nucleotides) under Mytilus galloprovincialis (Mediterranean mussel). The record is from RNAcentral. Lineage: Eukaryota; Metazoa; Mollusca; Bivalvia; Mytilida; Mytilidae.
UAAUAAGACAAACUAGAGGCUCUAAAGAGCCUGUGUCGCUCACCUUGGUCUAUGUGACUAUUAAACAAAAGAAGCAGAUGGAUUCAUGACAAAAUUGUAUUUUGGUGAUGUUGGUGUGUUUGUACAUCUUACUUUACUGAACAUCCUUGCUGCUUACAAUUAUCUCUAUCUAUAAUGAACUUGGCCCAGUAGUUUCAGUGGAAAAUGUUAGUAAAAAUUUACAAAUUUUAUAAAAAUUGUUGAAAAUUGACUAUAAAGGACAAUAACUCCUUAGGGGGUCAAUUGACCAUUUCGGUCAUGUUGACUUAUUUGUAAAUCUUACUUUGCUGAACAUUAUUGCUGUUUACAGUUUAUCUCUAUCUAUAAUAAUAUUCAAGACAAUAACCAAAAACAGCAAAAUUUCCUUAAAAUUACCAAUUCAGGGGCAGCAACCCAACAACGGGUUGUCCGAUUCAUCUGAAAAUUUCGGGGCAGAGAGAUCUUGACCUGAUAAACAAUUUAACCCCAUGUCAGAUUUGCUCUAAACGCUUUGGUUUUUGAGUUAUAAGCCAAAAACUGCAUUUUACCCCUAUGUUCUAUUUUUAGCCAUGGCGGCCAUCUUGGUUGGAUGGCCGGGUCAUCGAACACAUUUUUUAAACUAGAUACCCCAAAGAUGAUUGUAGAUAAGUUUGGAUUAAUUUGGCCCAGUAGUUUCAGAGGAGAAGAUUUUUGUAAAAGAUUACUAAGAUUUACGAAAAAUGGUUAAAAAUUGACUAUAAAAGGGCAAUAACUCCUAAAGGGGUCAACUGACCAUUUCGGUCAUGUUGACUUAUUUGUAAAUCUUACUUUGCUGAACAUAAUGGCUGUUUACAGUUUAUCUCUAUCUAUAAUAAUAUACAAGAUAAUAACCAAAAACAGCAAAAUUUCCUUAAAAUUACUAAUUCAGGGGCAGCAACCCAACAACAGGUUGUCAAGAUUCAUCUGAAAAUUUCAGGGUAGAUAGAUCUUCACCUGAUUAACAAUUUUACCAAUGUCAGAUUUGCUCUAAAUGCUUUGGUUU